AAAAGGUAGAGAACAAAAAAAGCUUUUGAAGAUAUUACAUGGAUUUACCGAAAAAAUUAUUGCCGACAGAAAACUUUAUCAUGAACGCACUAAUGGUCAAUACUU
This is a long non-coding RNA of Wasmannia auropunctata (little fire ant), 105 nucleotides long. RefSeq lists it as uncharacterized. The transcript is spliced from 2 exons. The record is from RefSeq and is a predicted model, not a curated record. Lineage: Eukaryota; Metazoa; Arthropoda; Insecta; Hymenoptera; Formicidae.